Molecule: ribosomal RNA, 378 nt
Filed under: Listeria monocytogenes
Lineage: Bacteria; Bacillati; Bacillota; Bacilli; Caryophanales; Listeriaceae
Description: partial 23S ribosomal RNA
Rfam family: Bacterial large subunit ribosomal RNA
Source: RNAcentral
AGGAGCCGAAGAAGGACGGGACUAACACCGAUAUGCUUUGGGGAGCUGUACGUAAGCGUUGAUCCAGAGAUUUCCGAAUGGGGGAACCCACUAUCUUUAGUCGGAUAGUAUCCUUACGUGAAUACAUAGCGUGAGGAAGGCAGACCCAGGGAACUGAAACAUCUAAGUACCUGGAGGAAGAGAAAGAAAAAUCGAUUUCCUGAGUAGCGGCGAGCGAAACGGAAAGAGCCCAAACCAAGAAGCUUGCUUCUUGGGGUUGUAGGACACUCUAUACGGAGUUACAAAAGAAAGUUAUAAAUGAAGCGGUCUGGAAAGGCCCGCCAAAGACGGUAACAGCCCGGUAGUUGAAAUGGCUUUCCCUCCAGAGUGGAUCCUGAG